UACGUAGGUGGCAAGCGUUGUCCGGAUUUAUUGGGCGUAAAGCGCGUGUAGGCGGCCAGGUAGGUCGGCUGUGAAAACUCGAGGCUCAACCUCGAGCUGUCGGCCGAAACCAUCUGGCUAGAGUCCGGAAGAGGAGAGUGGAAUUCCCGGUGUAGCGGUGAAAUGCGCAGAUAUCGGGAAGAACACCCGUGGCGAAGGCGGCUCUCUGGGACGGUACUGACGCUGAGACGCGAAAGCGUGGGGAGCGAACAGG
RNAcentral lists this ribosomal RNA (253 nucleotides) under uncultured bacterium. Its description in RNAcentral is "partial 16S ribosomal RNA". It matches the Rfam family "Bacterial small subunit ribosomal RNA", at positions 524 to 776 of the family's 1533-position model. The record is from RNAcentral.